GCGGCAGCGGGGGGAAGCUUGCUUCCCCGCCGGCGAGCGGCGGACGGGUGAGUAAUGUCUGGGGAUCUGCCUGAUGGAGGGGGAUAACUACUGGAAACGGUAGCUAAUACCGCAUAACGUCGCAAGACCAAAGUGGGGGACCUUCGGGCCUCACGCCAUCGGAUGAACCCAGAUGGGAUUAGCUAGUAGGUGGGGUAACGGCUCACCUAGGCGACGAUCCCUAGCUGGUCUGAGAGGAUGACCAGCCACACUGGAACUGAGACACGGUCCAGACUCCUACGGGAGGCAGCAGUGGGGAAUAUUGCACAAUGGGGGAAACCCUGAUGCAGCCAUGCCGCGUGUGUGAAGAAGGCCUUCGGGUUGUAAAGCACUUUCAGCGGGGAGGAAGGCGGCAAGGUUAAUAACCUUGCCGAUUGACGUUACCCGCAGAAGAAGCACCGG
This 441-nucleotide ribosomal RNA is filed under the name Dickeya sp. Its description in RNAcentral is "bacterial SSU rRNA". It matches the Rfam family "Bacterial small subunit ribosomal RNA", at positions 66 to 496 of the family's 1533-position model. The record is from RNAcentral. Lineage: Bacteria; Pseudomonadati; Pseudomonadota; Gammaproteobacteria; Enterobacterales; Pectobacteriaceae.